Long non-coding RNA from Erinaceus europaeus (western European hedgehog), 759 nucleotides. RefSeq lists it as uncharacterized. The record is from RefSeq and is a predicted model, not a curated record. NCBI's taxonomy places the organism in Eukaryota, Metazoa, Chordata, Mammalia, Eulipotyphla, Erinaceidae. The transcript has 3 exons.
CCACCCCUCGAGACACCAGGACGGCGGGGCGAGGACGAUCCGUACCCCGGGGGUUCAGGGAAGGAAAGAAAGCUGGAGAGAGUCGAGCGGGCUGCACUUUACGCCGAAGUUUCCCCUUUGAAUCGUCUGGAGUUGGUCACAUUCCAUGAUUUGAUAAGGUCAAGGCGAAUCAGAACACUGUAUGUACAUCAAGGCAGCUGUGUGCACUUCUAGGACAUUAAGAUCUUACAAGAAGAGUAUGGGGCGGUCAUUACCCCUGAAAAAAGUCAGCAUCGAUAAGAUACAUCAUAAAGGAGACUACAUUUGCAAAACCUGUAGAACCAGAAGAACCAAGUAUCCCUUGCUCCAGUGCACUAAUUCACAUCCUAUACAAUAUGCCCACAUUAAUGUUGGCAGCUGGGGGCAAAAGUUCAAAAAAUCAAACUAUACGUGGUCGAGGAGAUGGCGCAGUGAUAAGGCUUUGGACUCUUAACCAUGAGGUCCCGAGUUCGAUUCUCGGUCACAAGUUCAGUUCACAUUACAUGUGCAAAAGUAAUGUCUGGUUCUUUCUCUCUCCUCCUAUCUUUCUCAUAAAUAAAAUAAGUCUUUUAAAAAAAAGAAAGAAAGAAAUAUAAAAGAAAGAAAUCAAACUAUCCUUUGAAAAAGGUGAAGCAGUGCUGCAGGUAUCUCUCUCUUCCACUCUAUCUCUCCCUCCCCUCUUGACUUUUCUCUCUCUCUCUCUCUCUCUAUAUAUAUAUAUAUAUGUGUGUGUGUGUGUGU